UAGAAAGGAGCUGUGGUUGGCCUGGGAUGG
RNAcentral lists this non-coding RNA (30 nucleotides) under Mus musculus (house mouse). Lineage: Eukaryota; Metazoa; Chordata; Mammalia; Rodentia; Muridae. The record is from RNAcentral.